This 933-nucleotide long non-coding RNA is filed under the name Sus scrofa (pig). RNAcentral's name for it is "lncRNA (ENSSSCG00040009060.1)". Lineage: Eukaryota; Metazoa; Chordata; Mammalia; Artiodactyla; Suidae. The record is from RNAcentral.
AUUCAGAGACGGGCUGCGCGCUCCGAGCUGCACGGGCAGGCAUUUUCCCCGGCUUUGUUUUACAAGGUACCAGACCCGGCCAGACUCCUAAACCGCCGCGCGGGGGCAGCUGAACUCAAGGCGACCCGGGUGCGGGAACCGAACCCGCGGAGAAAGGGAAGAACGCGCUCAGAGGACAGACUGCAGCUGUUAAAAUAAGCGAGUCUGCUCACCGCACACGUGAUGUAGUGGAACUUCAGCCGGUUUGUAAACGCCUUCCUCCUUCCCACUUUUGCAGCGGGAAUCCCUUGCUGACCUGCACCCUCCCACUCCACCACUGUGUGAGAGUUUAUCUUCCAGAACCGCUGCUCGGCCAGACUGGAGUAUUUCCCCAGUUACCAGGAGAAUUUCCUAGCGAAAUCUAUAGAUAUGAAUGAGGUGCCGAACCGGAGCUCUGAGGAUAUAGCAAGGUUGCUGCCUUCGUUAAGCUUAAGUUCUGCAGAUGGAUGGUGCUAAACAAACACAAAAUUAAAAGUUUUUUCACAGCCAAGGAAACCAUGGGCAAAACCAAAAACAAACAAACAAACAAAAACAACCUACAGAAAGGGAGAAGAUAUUUGCAAAUGAUGUGACCAACGAUAGCCUAAUUUCUAAAAUAUGCAAGCAGCUAAUACAGCUUAAUAUCAACAAGCAAACAACCAACCUAAUCAAUGGGCAAAGGACCUAAAUAGGCAUUUUUUCCAAAGAUAUACAGAUGGCCCAUAGACACAUGAAAAGAUGCUUAAUAUUGCUAAUUAUUAGAGAAAAGCAAGUCAAAACUACAAUGAGGUAUCGCCUCACACUGGUCAGAAUGGCCAUCGUCAAAAAGUCCACAAGUCAGAAUUGUCUGGUGGCUCAGGUUUGAUCCCUGGCCCCAGAAUUGUUGGCUGUGGCUACAGCCAAAGAAAAAGUCUA